This 326-nucleotide ribosomal RNA is filed under the name Candidatus Allofontibacter lacus. Its description in RNAcentral is "bacterial SSU rRNA". It matches the Rfam family "Bacterial small subunit ribosomal RNA", at positions 1211 to 1533 of the family's 1533-position model. The record is from RNAcentral. Lineage: Bacteria; Pseudomonadati; Pseudomonadota; Alphaproteobacteria; Candidatus Pelagibacterales; Candidatus Pelagibacteraceae.
GGGCUACACACGUGCUACAAUGGCCGGUACAGAGGGCAGCGAAGGGGCGACCUGGAGCGAAUCUUAUAAAGCCGGUCGUAGUCCGGAUUGGAGUCUGCAACUCGACUCCAUGAAGUCGGAAUCGCUAGUAAUCGCGAAUCAGCAUGUCGCGGUGAAUACGUUCCCGGGCCUUGUACACACCGCCCGUCACACCAUGGGAGUGGGCUGCACCAGAAGCCGAUAGUCUAACCUUCGGGGGGACGUUUGCCACGGUGUGGUUCAUGACUGGGGUGAAGUCGUAACAAGGUAGCCGUAGGGGAACCUGCGGCUGGAUCACCUCCUUAAAA